RNAcentral lists this ribosomal RNA (497 nucleotides) under uncultured bacterium. RNAcentral describes it as "partial 16S ribosomal RNA". It matches the Rfam family "Bacterial small subunit ribosomal RNA", at positions 28 to 507 of the family's 1533-position model. The record is from RNAcentral.
GACGAACGCUGGCGGCGUGCCUAAUACAUGCAAGUAGAACGCUGAAGAGAGGAGCUUGCUCUUCUUGGAUGAGUUGCGAACGGGUGAGUAACGCGUAGGUAACCUGCCUUGUAGCGGGGGAUAACUAUUGGAAACGAUAGCUAAUACCGCAUAACAAUGGAUGACACAUGUCAUUUAUUUGAAAGGGGCAAUUGCUCCACUACAAGAUGGACCUGCGUUGUUUUAGCUAGUAGGUGAGGUAAUGGCUCACCUAGGCGACGAUACAUAGCCGACCUGAGAGGGUGAUCGGCCACACUGGGACUGAGACACGGCCCAGACUCCUACGGGAGGCAGCAGUAGGGAAUCUUCGGCAAUGGGGGCAACCCUGACCGAGCAACGCCGCGUGAGUGAAGAAGGUUUUCGGACCGUAAAGCUCUGUUGUAAGUCAAGAACGGGUGUGAGAGUGGAAAGUUCACACUGUGACGGUAGCUUACCAGAAAGGGACGGCUAACUACGUG